RNAcentral lists this long non-coding RNA (568 nucleotides) under Vitis vinifera (wine grape). Its description in RNAcentral is "long non-coding RNA (VVIN_LNC007156)". The record is from RNAcentral. Lineage: Eukaryota; Viridiplantae; Streptophyta; Magnoliopsida; Vitales; Vitaceae.
CCAGCAAGCAUAUAUGCGUAUAUGCAUCAUUCAACUAGUUCCUUUUUAUUUCCAUAUAUAUCACAGUGUAAAAGUCCACUAGGGUACACAAUGUGAACAGAGAAAAAGAAUACACGAAUGACAUACAAUUUUUUGUGUUAUUAUUAUUUUUCCUUAUUGUAUUUAUCAUGAUGAAAAUAUAUAAAAACAAAAACAAAAACAAAAACAACAAUGCAGGGCCUACAUAUUAUGUGCUCAGGACUCGUAAGAUUUUCUGAUGUGGGUGAUGACUAUGCAUAUUGGAGGCUGGAGCUUCAUUUAUGUUCAGUAGCCAUGACAACAGGAGCAGCGCAUGCGAACCUGUUCAGUAACAAUAUUUUUAUGUGGCCAAUGUGAAGAUAUAUGGAGGAGAACGAUCACCGGUUAUUUAUAUGAAUGCAGCCAGUGGCAUGACUAGAGUUUUUGGUGGUUUGGCUUAGUUGAAGGGUUUUUUUGACUCUUGACUAAUAGAAUUUUACUGUAGGAGAUUAGAAAUUGAAUAGGUCCUAAAGGAAGAAAAUACCUAGAAUUACCAAAUGACUAGUUUUCU